Molecule: long non-coding RNA, 360 nt
Organism: Paramisgurnus dabryanus
Lineage: Eukaryota; Metazoa; Chordata; Actinopteri; Cypriniformes; Cobitidae
Source: RefSeq, a predicted model, not a curated record
UUGGAGCUGGUACAUUUUAAUUACUUGCUGUCUUCACUGGAGUGCAGUGCUGCAAGCUCGAAGUGUGAUCCGUAGUAGCUGUUAUUCAAUACCAUUACUUUGAUUUCAUACAUCAAUCAGUGUAUACAAUGCCACUUCAAGAUGAACACACCUAAUAUCAGCUUACCCCCAAGCCAUCCAAGAGAUGCUCUUAAGGACAACGCCCUGAUGUCCAAGGUCAAUCAGCAAGAAGCUGAGAAGGCACUGUCAAAUUGGUUCACUGGGGCAAGGGACAGAGGAGGACAGAGAGCAUCAAGAAUGCAGAAAAGGAUGUCUGUUUGAGAAAGGUUAUAACUACAGUUGCUGAUUUGAACUGUCAUA